Molecule: ribosomal RNA, 442 nt
Filed under: uncultured Flavobacterium sp.
Lineage: Bacteria; Pseudomonadati; Bacteroidota; Flavobacteriia; Flavobacteriales; Flavobacteriaceae
Description: bacterial SSU rRNA
Rfam family: Bacterial small subunit ribosomal RNA
Source: RNAcentral
AACGCUAGCGGCAGGCUUAACACAUGCAAGUCGAGGGGUAUAUGUCUUCGGAUAUAGAGACCGGCGCACGGGUGCGUAACGCGUAUGCAAUCUACCUUUUACAGAGGGAUAGCCCAGAGAAAUUUGGAUUAAUACCUCAUAGCAUAGUGACUCGGCAUCGAGAUACUAUUAAAGUCACAACGGUAAAAGAUGAGCAUGCGUCCCAUUAGCUAGUUGGUAAGGUAACGGCUUACCAAGGCUACGAUGGGUAGGGGUCCUGAGAGGGAGAUCCCCCACACUGGUACUGAGACACGGACCAGACUCCUACGGGAGGCAGCAGUGAGGAAUAUUGGACAAUGGGCGCAAGCCUGAUCCAGCCAUGCCGCGUGCAGGAUGACGGUCCUAUGGAUUGUAAACUGCUUUUGUACGAGAAGAAACACUCCUACGUGUAGGAGCUUGACGG